RNAcentral lists this ribosomal RNA (564 nucleotides) under uncultured Allobosea sp. RNAcentral's name for it is "bacterial SSU rRNA". It matches the Rfam family "Bacterial small subunit ribosomal RNA", at positions 987 to 1533 of the family's 1533-position model. The record is from RNAcentral. Lineage: Bacteria; Pseudomonadati; Pseudomonadota; Alphaproteobacteria; Hyphomicrobiales; Alloboseaceae.
UGUCCGGUUUGAUCGGCAGAGAUGCCUUUCUUCAGUUCGGCUGGCCGGAACACAGGUGCUGCAUGGCUGUCGUCAGCUCGUGUCGUGAGAUGUUGGGUUAAGUCCCGCAACGAGCGCAACCCUCGCCCCUAGUUGCCAUCAUUCAGUUGGGAACUCUAGGGGGACUGCCGGUGAUAAGCCGCGAGGAAGGUGGGGAUGACGUCAAGUCCUCAUGGCCCUUACAGGCUGGGCUACACACGUGCUACAAUGGCGGUGACAAUGGGCAGCGAAGGGGUGACCUGGAGCUAAUCCCAAAAAGCCGUCUCAGUUCAGAUUGUACUCUGCAACUCGAGUACAUGAAGGUGGAAUCGCUAGUAAUCGUGGAUCAGCAUGCCACGGUGAAUACGUUCCCGGGCCUUGUACACACCGCCCGUCACACCAUGGGAGUUGGGUUUACCCGAAGGCGUCGCGCUAACCGCAAGGAGGCAGGCGACCACGGUAGGCUCAGCGACUGGGGUGAAGUCGUAACAAGGUAGCCGUAGGGGAACCUGCGGCUGGAUCACCUCCUUAAGCUUGGAUCCCGGG